UUGGCUAGGUAUGUACAUCAAGACCAGAGCCAAUCAGAAGCAGAGUACGGCGGGUCUUCACGGAAGGCGGGUGGGAAAAAAUAACGCCUAAUUGACAAACAGUUUUUAGAUUGGUAACUUACGGCUGUCUCUUCAUCGUCUUUAAAUUAUUUUCUAUAGUUUCCUCCGCCGUUAAAUUAUCGAUACCAGAUAAUGGCGCGAGGAAAACGAAAAAUAUUGAUAGUUAAAUGUUUGUCUUUAGGGGAGUCGAACCGUUUCCCUUGGUUUGAAUCUGACCGUUGGCUCAGGAUAACAUUAAAUUAACGUUUACUCCUAUCGAUAAUGUUACGAUUUCCAUAACAUUUGUCUUUUAAUAUUAUUAGCAUCUAUCAAAAACUGGUCGGUUUAAUGUUUACUCGCUACUGGAUAACAAAUAUGUGUCUUAACUGUUGUAAGUUAUGAAUUUCACAUCAUGAGGCCAAAGAGAAACAAGAGAAGCUCAAACUACAGUAUCCCCAAGAAAAAGAUAGAGGUGCAACAAAACCAACAAGAGAGGGAAGGAGAUGUCAGCCAAGCACAGUCUGAACAUACCUGCACAGUCCUCUGAAGAUCCCUAAACAGGGAGGAAUAGCUUGUCAGUUAAACUCAUGGAGGCCCGGUGAAGAGCAGGACACAGAAGAGAGGAGCUUGGACAGCCACUGAGAGGGAGACAGAGAGGGGGACAGAGCAGGAGACAGACAGAGCGAAAGAGGGAGAGAGAGGGGGGGAGCACUGGACCUGUAUCAGGCUCACAAUGAAAAGUCCGGUUAAGCUUUGCGUUUUGUGAUUUGGGUGCAUGCCUUGGACAGUGACAGUCUGCAAGGUUUUGCAGCGAGCAUGACUCAGAAUGGGAUCCAUGAGUGCAGUGAAGAGACUCUGAGUCAGACGAGACAAAUUCACCAGAGCCCCCGACUGCCCUCUCCGUCCAAGUGUCUGCUUGGAAACAAACAAGAUUAAUGUGUUGUUGUCUGGCCUUGAGUGAGGUAUGAACUUAAGGGAGGCAUGAGAGGAAUACAAAAAAUAAAUAAAAAUCCCAAAUAAAUACAGAAGUGCAGUGGAGCUCUGAGGUAAUGUGGGACUCCUGUGUGCUGUAACAGAGAGAGAAUGUUUUUUGUGUAUUAUAUAGACAGUACACUGUUAUUCAGUUAUUUCUCUUUCAUGGCAUCUUUGUUUAUAUUUGCACUUUAGGUAAUGGGUCUCUUACAAGAAAAGUUGGCUAUGUGGGUGGCUGUGGCUCAGAGGUAGAGGGGGACAUCCAUUAAUCGGAAGAUUGGCGGUUGAAUCCACGGCCUCUCCAGUCCACAUGUUGAAGUGUCCUUGAGCAAGAUAC
Molecule: long non-coding RNA, 1348 nt
Organism: Thunnus maccoyii (southern bluefin tuna)
Lineage: Eukaryota; Metazoa; Chordata; Actinopteri; Scombriformes; Scombridae
Exons: 4
Source: RefSeq, a predicted model, not a curated record